Molecule: non-coding RNA, 542 nt
Organism: Ictidomys tridecemlineatus (thirteen-lined ground squirrel)
Lineage: Eukaryota; Metazoa; Chordata; Mammalia; Rodentia; Sciuridae
Source: RefSeq, a predicted model, not a curated record
ACCACCCCCAGCUCUAUAAAAUAUGCAGAGCUGUUCCUCAAUAAACGAGCAUUUUCUCCGACGAUGAGCCUUGUUCCUUCUUUCAGGUAUAUUGACAAACUUUUUUGAGAUACAAUGGAUAAACAACAGCCUACUUCUUUUCAUGAUUUCAACAAAGCAAAGGCAAAGUCUAGUGCAUAGGAGAACUUCAUGCUGCAGACAGCAGUCCCCAGAGGCCUGGAGAUCAGACUGACAGACUCCAAACUCUCUUCAGAACCUACCUCCUUUUCUCAUGACCAGUCUACAUGCUCAGGCAAGCUUUUCUCCUCUGAGACAAGUGUGCUCCUGGAAGCUUCUUUACUGCUCUAAGUUUCCAGAGAAUCCUGCCAAAGACAACCUCUCGACCUCUCUGACUGAUAAUAGGAUUGUAUCAGACUUUGAAAUUCCCACUGUGCAUGAUAUUACCACAAAUGUGUCUCAUGACAUUAGGACAUUUGUAGUAGAGACCAGCUUCCACUCCCAGUCGUGGUGUUCUUUUCCUCAGAUUUUACUGUCAUGAUGUA